Molecule: long non-coding RNA, 362 nt
Filed under: Monodelphis domestica (gray short-tailed opossum)
Lineage: Eukaryota; Metazoa; Chordata; Mammalia; Didelphimorphia; Didelphidae
Description: lncRNA (ENSMODG00000039360.1)
Source: RNAcentral
CAAAUUCUUUCGCAAAAGGUUGGAUGUUCUAACUCGUGAAAAAAAAGAUAAUUCUCAGACCUUUGGGAUCCCCCUUUCCCAAGUCAUUGCCAACGACUUGGCCAACAAACAGCAGAGGGAAGCCAUGAAGGUUCCUCGGAGAGAAGGCCUGGAUGUGGAGGCUUCUGUGCUUCGCUUCCUCACUGAGAAGCAUCGCCAGUGCAUGCAAGGAGAACACUCCCUGCUUGGAGCCCUGAUGGAGUACCACCGGGAGCCUCUGACUCCCAUCUUUGCGGAGCAUCCCCCAAAGCUCCAGAGAAGGGUCCCCGUUAUUGUGGACAAGUGCUGUGAGCACAUCGAGGAGCAUGGUAAGGAUGUGAGGG